AAAACUACACUUUCAGAGAUCUUUGCUAUAGUUGGUUACUAGAGAAGUUUCUCUGUGCAGAGUUCUGGAAACCACAGGGAAGAGGUGCAGCCUUCUCUCCUGAGCAGGAUGCCAGCUCUUGGUGUGUUUGGCUGCAUCUGCCAUUUGCCAUUGCUGAUCAUUCUUCCUUUGGGAGAAUAAAAGGGAGAGGACCCAGUCUGAGUGGU
Molecule: small nucleolar RNA, 206 nt
Filed under: Microcebus murinus (gray mouse lemur)
Lineage: Eukaryota; Metazoa; Chordata; Mammalia; Primates; Cheirogaleidae
Description: Small nucleolar RNA U3 (ENSMICG00000019609.3)
Rfam family: Small nucleolar RNA U3
About the family: Small nucleolar RNAs (snoRNAs) are involved in the processing and modification of rRNA in the nucleolus. There are two main classes of snoRNAs: the box C/D class, and the box H/ACA class.
Source: Rfam by way of RNAcentral